Molecule: ribosomal RNA, 600 nt
Filed under: uncultured bacterium
Lineage: Bacteria
Description: bacterial SSU rRNA
Rfam family: Bacterial small subunit ribosomal RNA
Source: RNAcentral
AUCGCAUGAUGCAGUGUGAAAAACUCCGGUGGUAUAAGAUGGACCCGCGUUGGAUUAGCUAGUUGGUGAGGUAACGGCCCACCAAGGCGACGAUCCAUAGCCGACCUGAGAGGGUGACCGGCUACAUUGGGACUGAGACACGGCCCAAACUCCUACGGGAGGCAGCAGUGGGGAAUAUUGCACAAUGGGCGAAAGCCUGAUGCAGCGACGCCGCGUGAGCGAAGAAGUAUUUCGGUAUGUAAAGCUCUAUCAGCAGGGAAGAUAAUGACGGUACCUGACUAAGAAGCACCGGCUAAAUACGUGCCAGCAGCCGCGGUAAUACGUAUGGUGCAAGCGUUAUCCGGAUUUACUGGGUGUAAAGGGAGCGCAGGCGGUGCGGCAAGUCUGAUGUGAAAGCCCGGGGCUCAACCCCGGUACUGCAUUGGAAACUGUCGUACUAGAGUGUCGGAGGGGUAAGCGGAAUUCCUAGUGUAGCGGUGAAAUGCGUAGAUAUUAGGAGGAACACCAGUGGCGAAGGCGGCUUACUGGACGAUAACUGACGCUGAGGCUCGAAAGCGUGGGGAGCAAACAGGAUUAGAUACCCUGGUAGUCCACGCCGUA